Molecule: ribosomal RNA, 253 nt
Filed under: uncultured bacterium
Lineage: Bacteria
Description: partial 16S ribosomal RNA
Rfam family: Bacterial small subunit ribosomal RNA
Source: RNAcentral
UACGGAGGGGGCUAGCGUUGUUCGGAAUUACUGGGCGUAAAGCGCACGUAGGCGGCUUUGUAAGUUAGAGGUGAAAGCCCGGGGCUCAACUCCGGAAUUGCCUUUAAGACUGCAUCGCUAGAAUCGUGGAGAGGUGAGUGGAAUUCCGAGUGUAGAGGUGAAAUUCAUAGAUAUUCGGAAGAACACCAGUGGCGAAGGCGACUCACUGGACACGUAUUGACGCUGAGGUGCGAAAGCGUGGGGAGCAAACAGG